AGUGGGAUUACUGGGUUGAAUGGUGGUUCCAUUCCAAGUUUUCUGAGGAAUCUCCAUACUACUUUCCAAAGUGGUUGCACUAAUUUCCAGUCCCACCAGCAAU
Molecule: microRNA precursor, 103 nt
Filed under: Marmota monax (woodchuck)
Lineage: Eukaryota; Metazoa; Chordata; Mammalia; Rodentia; Sciuridae
Source: RNAcentral